This 1194-nucleotide long non-coding RNA is filed under the name Lonchura striata (white-rumped munia). RNAcentral's name for it is "domestica (Bengalese finch) lncRNA (ENSLSDG00000005926.1)". Lineage: Eukaryota; Metazoa; Chordata; Aves; Passeriformes; Estrildidae. The record is from RNAcentral.
GCCCGACCUCCCUCCCCGCCCUUUCGCAUGUCCCGCUCUCCCUCCUCUCUUGCCGUCGCCCCUUCGCUUCUUUCCCCCGCAGCCGUGGAGCUCGGGGCGCCUGCCAAAAUGAAGGCCUGUCAAAUCCUAGCUCUGCCUUUUGUUUAACGUGUUCUUACUUCCUAUUUAUGUCAUCACAGAAAGCAAGGAAAGAAGAAAUGUGACUGGUUCCCACUAUUGCUCCGUGCAGGCAUUUUUAAAGGCUGCUGUAUUUCUAUCCUCUUUUUCCCCUCCAAGCUUGACUUUUCCCCUCCUUUUUCGAGGUCUGCUGCUUUGGGUGUCCCAGGCAGGGCUGGGUUCUUCGGCAGGGGUCUUAGGACUCGCUACUGCUUCUGCUUUUUGCGAAGGUGUAUCAAAGUGUGCCGGCAAAAGGACUGUUUUCUCCAGGGGAAAGCUUUCUCUCAAUGACCAUCAAUGCAUGUAUGUGUUUUAGUCGUGUACCCAGAUGGAUUAAGAAAAGCCGACACCCGUAGCAGAUUUCUGUUGGAUCUGUGUCUGUGCGAAGUGGGCUGUGUGCUGGAGACGGAGAGACGCUGUUGGAGAGCGGCAACAGCGGCAGGUGUGAGCUGUGAGGAUGAGGAGGGCUCAGAGCAGCCCCAGGUGUGGGCUGUGAGGAUGAUGAGGAGGGCGCGGCUCCUCCGGCGGCUGAUUUAGGGGGUUUUCCUCGCAAUGCUUUUGCACGGAGCUGCUGGAGGAGAGGAGUUGAUGGGGGGCUCCCGGGGCUCUCUCCUGGAAGGAUGGUGGGCGCUUCGGACAGGGUCCGGGGGAUCACCUGGAAACCCACCUGGAUACGUGGAGCAUUGUUCAAAGGAGGAGCCGAGGGACAAACCUUUGUGCCGAGAAGCAGCAGGGGACGCGAUUGAAGGGAAGCCUACAUUUCUGUGCCCUUGUCGGCGUGAGGUGAGCGCCGGAGCGUGGCGUCAGUCUUCGGGCUUCAGAGGAAGGGAGCUGCAGCCGUGGCAGCGCUGGCAGGGCGGGGAUCGGGCUGUGCCGCUGCAUUCGGGGCGCUUCUUCUGCCCCCGGCCCGGCAGCGAAGGGUGCGGCGCGGAGCCCUGCCGGCAGUGCCGGGGCUGGCCGGGGCGGAAGGGGAGCUGGGCGCGGCUGGGCUGCCGCGGGCCCGCCGGAGCCGCGCCGGUGCGAGCCGUGCGGAGCCGA